Molecule: ribosomal RNA, 492 nt
Filed under: uncultured bacterium
Lineage: Bacteria
Description: partial 16S ribosomal RNA
Rfam family: Bacterial small subunit ribosomal RNA
Source: RNAcentral
AGUGAACGCUGGCGGUAGGCCUAACACAUGCAAGUCGAACGGCAGCACAGUAAGAGCUUGCUCUUACGGGUGGCGAGUGGCGGACGGGUGAGGAAUACAUCGUAAUCUACUUUUUCGUGGGGGAUAACGUAGGGAAACUUACUCUAAUACCGCAUACGACCUACGGGUGAAAGCAGGGGAUCUUCUGACCUUGCGCGAUUGAAUGAGCCGAUGUCGGAUUAGCUAGUUGGCGGGGUAAAGGCCCACCAAGGCGACGAUCCGUAGCUGGUCUGAGAGGAUGAUCAGCCACACUGGAACUGAGACACGGUCCAGACUCCUACGGGAGGCAGCAGUGGGGAAUAUUGGACAAUGGGCGCAAGCCUGAUCCAGCCAUACCGCGUGGGUGAAGAAGGCCUUCGGGUUGUAAAGCCCUUUUGUUGGGAAAGAAAAGCAGCAGGUUAAUACCCCGCUGUUCUGACGGUACCCAAAGAAUAAGCACCGGCUAACUUCGUG